Molecule: ribosomal RNA, 470 nt
Filed under: uncultured bacterium
Lineage: Bacteria
Description: SSU rRNA
Rfam family: Bacterial small subunit ribosomal RNA
Source: RNAcentral
AGGACGAACGCUUGCGACGUGCCUAAGAAAUGCAAGUCGAACGAGGUAGCAAUACCUAGUGGCGAACGGUCGCGUAACACGUGGGCAACCUGCCCUAAAGUGGGGGACAACACGCCGAAAGGUGUGCUAAUACCGCAUGUGGAUCAGAAUGGCAUCAUUCAAGAUCCAAAGGAUUUAUUCGCUUUAGGAUGGGCCCGCGGCCUAUCAGCUAGUUGGUGAGGUAACGGCUCACCAAGGCUUCGACGGGUAGCUGGUCUGAGAGGACGAUCAGCCGGAUUGGGACUGAGAUACGGCCCAGACUCCUACGGGGGCAGCAAUUAGGAAUCUUGCGCAAUGGGCGAAAGCCUGACGCAGCGACGUCGCGUGAAGGAUGAAAUCUUUCGGGAUGUAAACUUCUUUUAUCAGGGAAGAAACAAAUGACGGUACCUGAUGAAUAGCCCCGGCUAACUACGUGCCAGCAGCCGCGGUAA